AAAAGUGCUUGUAGUGCAGGUAG
Molecule: microRNA, 23 nt
Filed under: Callorhinchus milii (elephant shark)
Lineage: Eukaryota; Metazoa; Chordata; Chondrichthyes; Chimaeriformes; Callorhinchidae
Also listed under: 2 other names
Description: Cmi-Mir-17-P4b_5p (mature (guide))
Source: RNAcentral